Molecule: long non-coding RNA, 1466 nt
Organism: Oncorhynchus keta (chum salmon)
Lineage: Eukaryota; Metazoa; Chordata; Actinopteri; Salmoniformes; Salmonidae
Exons: 3
Source: RefSeq, a predicted model, not a curated record
GAGGGUAAAAGCAGGUAUAUUACACAUACUACAUUCCUUAAAUACUACAUUUGUGUAUUUAAUUUAAUAUAAAGAUGAGAUUAGAUUACCAUUUGUAAUAGGAGCUAAACAUUAGUCGAAAAGGUAUUUGUCUACAUGAAUUUACUACCAUUCACUGGUCACUACAGUGGAGCAACAACCAGAGGAAGACAGACCACUACAGUGGAACAACAACCAGAGGAAGACAGACCACUACAGUGGAACAACAACCAGAGGAAGACAGACCACUACAGUAGAACAACAACCAGAGGAAGACAGACCACUACAGUAGAACAACAAACAGAGGAAGACAGACCACUACAGUGGAACAACAACCAGAGGAAGACAGACCACUACAGUAGAACAACAACCAGAGGAAGACAGACCACUACAGUGGAACAACAACCAGAGGAAGACAGACCACUACAGUAGAACAACAACCAGAGGAAGACAGACCACUACAGUGGAGCAACAACCAGAGGAAGACAGACCACUACAGUAGAACAACAACCAGAGGAAGACAGACCACUACAGUGGAACAACAACCAGAGGAAGACAGACCACUACAGUGGAACAACAACCAGAGGAAGACAGACCACUACAGUAGAACAACAACCAGAGGAAGACAGACCACUACAGUGGAACAACAACCAGAGGAAGACAGACCACUACAGUGGAACAACAACCAGAGGAAGACAGACCACUACAGUGGAACAACAACCAGAGGAAGACAGACCACUACAGUAGAACAACAACCAGAGGAAGACAGACCACUACAGUGGAACAACAACCAGAGGAAGACAGACCACUACAGUGGAACAACAACCAGAGGAAGACAGACCACUACAGUGGAACAACAACCAGAGGAAGACAGACCACUACAGUGGAACAACAACCAGAGGAAGACAGACCACUACAGUGGAACAACAACCAGAGGAAGACAGACCACUACAGUAGAACAACAACCAGAGGAAGACAGACCACUACAGUGGAACAACAACCAGAGGAAGACAGACCACUACAGUGGAGCAACAACCAGAGGAAGACAGACCACUACAGUAGAACAACAACCAGAGGAAGACAGACCACUACAGUGGAACAACAACCAGAGGAAGACAGACCACUACAGUAGAACAACAACCAGAGGAAGACAGACCACUACAGUGGAACAACAACCAGAGGAAGACAGACCACUACAGUAGAACAACAACCAGAGGAAGACAGACCACUACAGUAGAACAACAACCAGAGGAAGACAGACCACUACAGUGGAACAACAACCAGAGGAAGACAGACCACUACAGUGGAGUGAAGUGGAACAUUUACAAUUGGUCCUGAGGUCACAGCUAGGGGGCAGGGACUCCCAGUGCUUUAGCCCUCCCACCCUCUGAACCAGCCACUCACCAUGGUCCUUUCCCUUAACGAAGCCCUCCCACUCUGAACCAGCC